CUGAAUGAGUAAGCCAGUAUCGCUCUUGUUGGUGAAAUGAAUACAAUACCAAUUCCAUUUCCUUCUCCAUUGGAGGAUCCAUCCACCAAUAUCUCUCAUUUGUUUGGAUUUCGCUCAUUUAAUAAAUCAUUAGGAUUUCCAUGUUCUUCAUCCACCUCCAUCAUUUCUUCUACAUAUUCAUCUUCUUCUAUUGGAAAUUCUGCAAGAAACUCUGCGGUAACUUGAGACUUUGGUGAAGAUAAAAUUUCAUAACCAAUCUCAUAGUUUCCUAAUUGUGCAUUCCACCUCUCUAUUCUUCCUGACCUCUUCGAAUUCUUCAUUGCGUUUUCAAUUGGUGGUGGCAUAUCUCUAAUCGCUUGUACCAUCUCCGGAUCAACUUGUAUUCCCUCCUUGGAUAUAAUAUAUCCUAAAAUUUUUCCUGAUGAUACGCCAAUUACACAUUUUUCUGGGUUUACUUUAAUAUUGAAUUUUCACAUUUGUUCAAAUAUUGAUCGCAAAUCAUCAACAUGAUCUUUCGCCUCUUUGCUUUUAGUUAGCAUAUCAUCUACAUAGACUUCUAAUGUUUUACGUAUCCAUUUUUUUCGAAUACUUUCUGCACCAUUCUUUGAUAAGUUGCACCUGCAUUCUUCAAUCCAAAUGGCAUUUUCGUGUAACAAUAUAAACCUCCUGGUGCGAAGAAAGCAGUGUGUUCUUGAUCUUCUUCUGUCAAAGAAAUUUGAUUCUAGCCUUUAUACCCAUCUAACAUUGUGAGUAUAUCAUUCCUUGAUGCCGAUUCCACCAUUUGAGGUAUGUCGGGUAAAGGGAAGCUGUCUUUAGGGCACAUUUUGUUUAGAUCUGUAAAAUCUAUGGAAAUCCUAAUUCCGAUGUUCUUUUUAGGUACCACCACCAUAUUUGCUAUGCACUCUGGAUAUUUUGCCUCCCUUAUAAUUCCUACAUCUAACAUCUUCUGCAAUGCUGCUUCUAUUUUAGGAUGAUAGUCAGUUGCAAUCUUCCUUGUCCUUUGCUUGAACGGCUUUACAUUCUUCUUAAUGUUUAAUUUAUGACAUGCGACAGACGGAGCUAUUUCUGACAUUUCUUUCAUACUCCAUGCGAAAAUAUCAUUAUAUUCUCGCAGAAUGCUUAUCGUUUUUUCCUCUUCUUCUUUAUCCAUUUUAGUUCCAAUUCUUUAAAUUUUUGGUUCUUCUCCAGUUCCUAUAUUUAUUUCAUUUGCUGGUUCCGCUGCAGUAAAAUUCGCUUUUGGUUCCCUCAUAGGUGUUGGUUUCUUAAUUUUUUUAAUUUGUCCACCUUCCUCCGCUGGUUCUUCGCCUGGUAUUCCUUUUCCCUCUUUCGCUCUUAUCAUGUAAAUUCGAAAUUCCUCUUCUUUCCUUUGUUCUAUUGCUUUUAUCCAUCGAUCCUUUCGCUUCUUUGCUCUCCCUUCAUAAUUUCGCACAUCUAUUUGAUUUCAAGUAUUCACAACCUUAACAUCUCCUUUGAUUUUACCUAUACCGCUUGGAAUAGGGAAUACAUUGAUGUAAUGUUGAAGCUACGACCUUUAGUCCAUGUACCCAUGGUCGUCCCAACAACAUGUUGUAUGGUGACUCAAUGUCAAUCACACACAGUGUUAUCUUUGUUUGAACCUCUCCCAGUAAUAUUCGCAUAACGAUUUCUCCUUUUGGAUUUGUAAUUUCUCUAUUGAAUCCAUGAACAUUAUAUGAUGUGGUUGUCAUUUCUGCAUCUUCAUAUCCUAUUUCUUUGAAUUUGCGAUAAAAUAUUACAUCAACUACACUUCCUAUAUCUAUCAAUGUUCUAUCAAUCGCCCAUCCUUCAAAUCCCCUCUGUUUUCCAAUAAUUUUUUCUCGCUCAGCUGUGACCGUAAUUACUAAUGGAUCUGUUCGCUGUAAAUUUUCUUCUGGAAUUUCAUCCGCUGCAAAGGAAAUUUUCACCUUUUCUCAAUCUUGUAAUGAAAUUCUUUGUCUACCGUCUCUAUCUUCUUACCUUCGUAAUUUGUUUUAUGAAUUCUCCCUGUUACUGUUGCUUGAAAAUCUGCCUCAGAAAUUGAUACUAUAAUUAUGUUAUUACACUGUAUAUCUCUGCCUCUUCCUUGAAUUAGUAUGAGUCUUCUCUUCAUGGAUCCCUUAUGAUUCUUCCUUAAUUUCCCUAAGAACUUCAGAUCUAUUAACAAGAAUUAUCAUCCAGAGCUGUUUCUAGCGCCAAAAAUGUAGUUGUCAUAAAUCUUACAAUUAUGUUCCACUAUCACUAAAUGAGAAUUUAGGUAACCAUCUUCUUAUUAUAUGAAAUGUAGAUAGAAUUACAAAGAUUGAUCCAACUAUUACAAUGAUCUAUUUUCCCUAGAUUUACUUUCUGUUUCUAUUUCUUGACCAAGACUCACUCCAGAACUCCCUCACAAGUAAUGAUUUCUCUCCUUUAUAUAAGAAUUUACAUAGUGGAUGACAACUAAGAAACCCACUAUUUUCAGGAUCACUAUGCGACACAUUCGCUCAUAUACAAUCGCUCAUCUUCGCAUAGAAUAUCUCUUCGCACAGUUCUUCGCACUUUACUCGUGACUUUGUUGACAUCAUCUGGUGCGUCAUCUCAACUUUAUUGUGUGCGAUGCUCUUCGCUUAGAUUGUAUUCUUUACUUCGCGUGAUUACUAACAUGUGCGGUAUUUUACUCCUCCAAUACUUAGAGAAUUUUCUUCAUGUAAAAAGAUAUUAUGCAUGCAGACCAUGAGCACCGAGGCUCCAUUAUGAUAACCAGAAGACAAAGUCUCAAUUUUAUAGUCGUCAAGAGUUUUUUCAAAAACCAGACGUGGCGGAUUAUCCGGAAAUCCUUCCCUGUCUUGAUCCAAAGUCUAUUAUCAAUGUUGAACUCUCCACUAUUUCCAAGCCAAUGUGCUUCCCAGAUAGGUUUCUUAUAAGGAUUUGUAUCUGUAAAUUGAAUUGAGUUGAGCAAUUAGAUCACAUACAAUUAAUUCCGUCCAUGUGUCCAGUAGAAUAUCACCAUUUUCAAAAGACCUAAUUGGUUUAACGCAGUGAUAGUUAAUCAAUGUAAAAAUGGUAAAUCGCUUAGUCCAGGAAUUUUGCACUCCAUAAUCUUGCAUGACCCAUAUAUGUGUCCAUUGGACCAUGUUCGAAACCAAUAGCUUAAACAAAGACAGUCUCCCAGCAAUGCCACAUGUUUAUAGAUUCUUUUGUCUUCUUCGCAACGUUUUUGUAGAAUUUUCAGAGGAUGCUCCUUGGGAAGCGGUUGGAAAGCCUAACCAAUGGAGAGUUAAUGCCCUUACCAAAAUUAGACCAAUCACAUGUUCCAAGUGUAGUUUCUUACCAAAGAAUAAAUUAAAUGUGUAGAUUUGGUUAUCAUUUUCAGCGCCACUAAUACCACUUCAUGUUUCAGAUUCUUGAUGUCUGCACCAUCAUUUGCAUCAUUUAAUACCAUGUCCUACUUUCAUCAGUCUUGUGACACCUACAAAUCCUUAACCGUUCAAUGAAAUGUGCGCAAGUAAUAACGAUGUUGAGAACAAAAGCAUCAUUGGGUUGGUUUGAAGUCUAUGUGCAAGCCUCUCUCUCGAGGGGGGUUUAGGAGUUAGAAGACUGAAGCCUUUAAAUUAGUUAAUACAACAGUGGAAGAGAACCCGUCAUUAUACUUCUUCGACAUGGGAAAGAUAGCAAUGCUUACAUUUACCUGCCAAUCCCCAAGAAAACAAAAAAAAAAAAAUUCAUUUCUCAAAUCACAAAUUGUAUUUACUAAAUCAAUACAUAUUACACAAAAAUAAGCUAAGAAACAUAAAUCCGAUUACCCAAUGUGUAGGAAGCUCUUCCCACCAUGGAACUGUAAUGCUAUCAAGCUCAGUUUUUAAAGAUCAUAAAUCUAUGAUGAACUUGCUUCGGGAUCACACGUGCUUUCAAAUCUAGAAAUAUUCUCUCAACUGAAAAAUACAGAGUCAUAUAUACCUGGGUUAAGAAGAAAUUAGAGCUUCAUUUUUAUUGAAUCAUUGAUCCCCAAGAAAAUGAAACUGCUGUGACAUCAAGUUAACCAAGAGACUAAAUUGAAACCGAUGCCGUCAAAAUGCCUAGGAUUCGCAAUUGGAAUAACAGAGAAGUGAUAGCAGGAAAGUAUGGUGAUAGGAACUCUAGGUGGAGAACAAAAGAUACAAAAGAUCCAUAUGGGGUUAGCAUUUGGAGGCACAUCAACUCAGUGACAAACACUUUCUUUGGGGACAUACAAAUUCAAAAUUGGACACGGUUCUUCGAUUAGAUUAUGGGAAGACAAAUGGUGUAGUGAAGGAAUCCUUGCUGCUCUCUGUCCUUCUCUUUACGCUUUUUCAAGUACUAAGAACAUUUCCUUACUAGAUGUGAGGGUUUCUGCUGAAGGUGGUUUCUUUUGGGAUUUAGGUCUCAAUAACAGAAGAAGAUUGUAUGAUCAUGAAAUUCAGGAGCUUCUUAUCGCUUUACCUAUGUUGGAAGUUGUUCAUUUUAAUUAAGACGAAGAGGAUGAAAUGGUUUGGGUGGGUCAUAAAAGCGGUAUUUUUUCGGUGAAGUCUGCCUAUGCGCUUGAAGUUAAUUUGGUGGCAGGUGAUAAUUCUUUCCCCCAAAAGAAAAUUUGGUCGAUGAAAUGGCCUAUGAAGCAUGGAUUCUUCCUUUGGCAGGCCGUGCUGAACCGUCUCCAACUCUCACCAAUUUACAGAAAAAGGGCUCUGCUUUUAUUAAUCCUAAUGGCUCGCCAAUUCCAACUCUUGCAUUUUCUGUGGCACUCAUGCAGAAAAUAACGAUCACUUGUUCCUCCAUUGUUCUUUUGCCUCUAGAAUAUGGAGCUUCUUUCAAAAUGGUGCAAGAAGAGUAGUCCUUACUCCACAUCAAUCUAUUUUGGAUGUCAUCUCUAAUUGUAAUACAGCUGGUCUUACUCCUCUAGGGAAGGAAAUUUGGAAAAAGAUUCCCACUAGUAUUAUGUGGAACUUGUGGAUCGAAAGAAACAAGCGGACUUUCAACGGCCAAAGUCUGCAGUUCUCUUCUAUAAUUGCUAACAUUAAAAAUUUAAAAUUCAAACUUUUUACUGGGCGUCUAUGGAA
Papaver somniferum (opium poppy) is the source of this 5045-nucleotide long non-coding RNA. RefSeq lists it as uncharacterized. The transcript is spliced from 2 exons. Lineage: Eukaryota; Viridiplantae; Streptophyta; Magnoliopsida; Ranunculales; Papaveraceae. The record is from RefSeq and is a predicted model, not a curated record.